UGGGGAAUAUUGGACAAUGGGCGAAAGCCUGAUCCAGCCACGCCGCGUGUGUGAAGAAGGUCUUCGGAUUGUAAAGCACUUUAAGUCGGGAGGAAGGGCAGUAAGCGAAUACUUUGCUGUUUUGACGUUACCGACAGAAUAAGCACCGGCUAAUUCUGUGCCAGCAGCCGCGGUAAUACAUAGGGUGCAAGCGUUAAUCGGAAUUACUGGGCGUAAAGCGCGCGUAGGUGGUUCGUUAAGUUGAAUGUGAAAGCCCCGGGCUCAACCUGGGAACUGCGUCCGAAACUGGCGGGCUAGAGUAGGGUAGAGGGUGGUGGAAUUUCCUGUGUAGCGGUGAAAUGCGUAGAUAUAGGAAAGAACACCAGUGGCGAAGGCGACCACCUGGGCUCAUACUGACACUGAGGUGCGAAAGCGUGGGGAGCAAACAGG
Molecule: ribosomal RNA, 429 nt
Filed under: Pseudomonadota bacterium
Lineage: Bacteria; Pseudomonadati; Pseudomonadota
Description: Proteobacteria bacterium partial 16S ribosomal RNA
Rfam family: Bacterial small subunit ribosomal RNA
Source: RNAcentral